CCUACGGGAGGCAGCAGUGAGGAAUAUUGGUCAAUGGACGCAAGUCUGAACCAGCCAUGCCGCGUGCAGGAUGACUGCCCUAUGAGUUGUAAACUUCUUUUGUACGAGGGUAAACGCAGAUACGCGUAUCUGUCUGAAAGUAUCGUACGAAUAAGGAUCGGCUAACUCCGUGCCAGCAGCCGCGGUAAUACGGAGGAUUCGAGCGUUAUCCGGAUUUAUUGGGUUUAAAGGGUGCGUAGGCGGUCGGAUAAGUUAGGGGUGAAAGCCCGAGGCUCAACUUCGGAAUUGCCUCUGAUACUGGCAGGCUAGAGAGUAGUUGCGGUAGGCGGAAUGUGUGGUGUAGCGGUGAAAUGCUUAGAGAUCAUACAGAACACCGAUUGCGAAGGCAGCUUACCAAGCUACUUCUGACGUUGAGGCACGAAAGCGUGGGGAGCAAACAGGAUUAGAUACCCGAGUAGUC
RNAcentral lists this ribosomal RNA (460 nucleotides) under uncultured bacterium. Its description in RNAcentral is "partial 16S ribosomal RNA". It matches the Rfam family "Bacterial small subunit ribosomal RNA", at positions 338 to 795 of the family's 1533-position model. The record is from RNAcentral.